Molecule: ribosomal RNA, 238 nt
Filed under: uncultured bacterium
Lineage: Bacteria
Description: partial 16S ribosomal RNA
Rfam family: Bacterial small subunit ribosomal RNA
Source: RNAcentral
CGGCGGACGGGUGAGUAACGCGUGGGUAACCUACCCUGUACACACGGAUAACAUACCGAAAGGUAUGCUAAUACGGGAUAAUAUAUUUGAGAGGCAUCUCUUGAAUAUCAAAGGUGAGCCAGUACAGGAUGGACCCGCGUCUGAUUAGCUAGUCGGUAAGGUAACGGCUUACCAAGGCGACGAUCAGUAGCCGACCUGAGAGGGUGAUCGGCCACAUUGGAACUGAGACACGGUCCAA